RNAcentral lists this long non-coding RNA (1145 nucleotides) under Podarcis lilfordi (Lilford's wall lizard). Lineage: Eukaryota; Metazoa; Chordata; Lepidosauria; Squamata; Lacertidae. The record is from RNAcentral.
UCUGAUCAUAAUACUUCAAUUAAAAACUAAAAAACUAAAAUAAAAAGAUCAAAUUUUAGUCCAAAUUGUAUUUAUUAAUUUCUUGGGGCUCCCCAUGGUCUGGAUCUCUGGAGCAGAUCUCUGCAUCUUAGUCCUGCUUCUCCUUGUUGUUUCUAUAUUUUCCACAUCUCGAUAUUAACGCUUGGUAUUUUUUUGUUCCUGGGCCCAGGAUUCUCAUUCAUGUCAAACACCAUAUACAGUGGUACCUCGGGUUACAUACGCUUCAGGUUACAGACUCUGCUAACCCAGAAAUAGUACCUCGGGUUAAGAAGUUUGCUUCAGGAUGAGAACAGAAAUCGUGCUCCGGCGGCAGCAGGAGGCCCCAUUAGCUAAAGUGGUGCUUCAGGUUAAGAACAGUUUCAGGUUAAGUACGGACCUCCGGACUGAAUUAAGUACUUAACCCGAGGUACCACUGUACUUUCAUCAUCCGAAUAAAACUUUGUUAAUAUAAAAUUUUUCCAACUGCCUUUUUCUCAGCUCAGCUUCGUCUGAUUCCGUUCCAAUUCCGGGAUGUUGUCCAAGUCUGUUAUCUUUGAUGGGGCAGCAACUCCUUAAUUGUCCAACCUUCCUUUUGAACUUUGUUAAACCAGUACCUUCCAAAUUAAGUUAUUAGGCAAAACUGUUUGCAAUAUUAAACUGUGUUCCACAGUAUCAGUCAUUUGGCGAUCGAUCGGCCUUUGGAAACCGCACUGUCCCCACUCUGGGCCCUGGGGGGGGGGGGCUGCUAGACAUUCCUUAGCCUUUUCUUUCGCUCAUAAUGAAUAUAAAAAGCUUCUGCAAACAGCUGCACUGUGUAUUGUUCAAAGUAGUUAUCUUGAUUCAUCACACAGUCAGUCAGCACACAGCUCCUCUUAUCUCAAAGAAAGGAAGAGAUAUAAAAAUUCAUGCUGUGUCACUAGUAGAAACUAGUGGAAACCAUCGUGUCUCUUCCUGCAUCUCUGUCAGAUCUCUCAAAUCCGAAAUGAAGCUGAGCGGUUAAAUGCCUAAUUAUAAAUAAAAGUCCAUCUGUACUUGUUUUUUUAAAGUUUAAAUUCUUAAUGAGGCUUCAAUUGCUAGACGAGCAUGGAGCCGAGCCAUUUCCUACACCCUCCACCUAUUAGCAUCGG